AAAGAUUAAGCCAUGCAUGUCUAAGUAUAAACGACUUGAUCGUGAAACCGCGAAUGGCUCAUUAUAACAGCUAUAAUUUACUUGAUCUUGACACAAUCCUACUUGGAUAACUGUGGUAAUUCUAGAGCUAAUACAUGCAUUAAAGCUCUGACCGUAAGGAAAGAGUGCAUUUAUUAGAACAAAACCAAGCGGCCUUCGGGCUGUUUUCGGUUGACUCAUAGUAACUGAGCUGAUCGCAUGGGCUUGUCCCGGCGACGUGUCUUUCAAGUAUCUGCCGUAUCAACUUUCGAUGGUAGUGUAAUUGACAACCAUGGUGAUCACGCGUAACGGAGAAUAAGGGUUCGACUCCGGAGAGUUCGCCUGAGAAAUCGCGAACACAUCUAAGGAAGGCAGCAGGCGCGAAAAUUACCCACUUUCAGCACGAGGAGGUAGUGACGAAAAAUAACGAGACUGUUCUCUUAUGAGGCCAGUCAUCGGAAUGGGUACAAUUUAAACCCUUUAACGAGUAUCUAUGAGAGGGCAAGUCUGGUGCCAGCAGCCGCGGUAAUUCCAGCUCCCAAAGUGCAUAGAAUUAUUGCUGCGGUUAAAAAGCUCGUAGUUGGAUCUGUGCCAUAGGACUGGGUCCACCUUCUAGGUGCGUACUCAGCUCCUUGGCUUACACUGUCGGUUUAACCCGUCGUGGCCUUUACUGGUUGCGGCGGGUGGCUGGCGAGUUUACUUUUGAGAAAAUCAGAGUGCUCAACACAAGCGUCUUGCUUGAAUGAUUGUGCAUGGAAUAAUAGAAAAGGAUUUCGGUCCUCUUUUAUUGGUUUUGUGGACUGAGAUAAUGGUUAACAGGGACAAACGGGGGCAUUCGUAUCUCGGUGUGAGAGGUGAAAUUCUUGGACCAUCGAGAGACGCCCUACUGCGAAAGCAUUUGCCAAGAAUG
Molecule: ribosomal RNA, 928 nt
Filed under: Acrobeloides apiculatus
Lineage: Eukaryota; Metazoa; Nematoda; Chromadorea; Rhabditida; Cephalobidae
Description: SSU rRNA
Rfam family: Eukaryotic small subunit ribosomal RNA
Source: RNAcentral